RNA transcript from Pan troglodytes (chimpanzee), 3862 nucleotides. It is a transcript of the gene named acyl-CoA synthetase family member 3, with no coding region annotated. The record is from RefSeq and is a predicted model, not a curated record. Lineage: Eukaryota; Metazoa; Chordata; Mammalia; Primates; Hominidae. The transcript is spliced from 12 exons.
CCCUGGAGAGAGGGAAGGUUUAAAGGGGUGAGGCCCGGCGCAGUCAGGAGUUGAUGUUGCUGUCCUGAGUCUAAAUUCCACCAGGCAGGCCAGGUGCAGUGGCUCAUGCCUGUAAUCCCAGCGCUUUGGGCAGCAGAGGCAGGAGGAUCACUUGUGGCCAGGAGUUCAAAACCAGCCUGGGCAACAUGGUGUCCUCACCGGCCUUCCGGGUUCCAGCACCAGGCCUGGUGCCUGCCCCAGGAGGAUGAGCAUUUGCAGUGCCUUCCACCUGCUGAAGCAGCUGUGCCUGCCGCUCUUGUGAACUGCGAACUUCCCCUUACCACCUCUCUCUGGCUCGGGAGCUGGCUCGGCCCCAGGAGGCUCCCGGGAGCGCCUGUCAGUACAAUGCCGCCCCAUGCGGUGCUCACCUUCCGGCGCCUGGGCUGCGCCUUGGCCUCCUGCCGGCUGGCGCCUGCGAGACACAGAGGAAGUGGUCUUCUGCACACAGCCCCAGCGGCCUGCUCGGACAGGAGCGCCCCGGUGUUCACCCGUGCCCUGGCCUUUGGGGACAGGAUCGCCCUGGUUGACCGGCACGGCCGCCACACGUACAGGGAGCUUUAUUCCCGCAGCCUUCGCCUGUCCCAGGAGAUCUGCAGGCUCUGCGGGUGUGUCGGCGGGGACCUCCGGGAGGAGAGGGUCUCCUUCCUUUGCGCCAACGACGCCUCCUACGUCGUGGCCCAGUGGGCCUCAUGGAUGAGCGGCGGUGUGGCAGUCCCCCUCUACAGGAAGCAUCCCGCGGCCCAGCUGGAGUAUGUCAUCUGCGACUCCCAGAGCUCUGUGGUCCUUGCCAGCCAGGAGUACCUGGAGCUCCUGAGCCCGGUGGUCAGGAAGCUGGGGCUCCCGCUGCUGCCGCUCACACCAGCCAUCUACACUGGAGCAGUAGAGGAACCCGCAGAGGUCCCGGUCCCAGAGCAGGGAUGGAGGAACAAGGGCGCCAUGAUCAUCUACACCAGUGGGACCACGGGGAGGCCCAAGGGCGUGCUGAGCACGCACCAAAACAUCAGGGCUGUGGUGACCGGGCUGGUCCACAAGUGGGCAUGGACCAAAGACGACGUGAUCCUCCACGUGCUCCCACUGCACCACGUCCAUGGUGUGGUCAACGCGCUGCUCUGUCCUCUCUGGGUGGGAGCCACCUGUGUGAUGAUGCCUGAGUUCAGCCCUCAGCAGGUUUGGGAAAAGUUCUUAAGUUCUGAAACGCCGCGGAUCAAUGUCUUUAUGGCAGUGCCUACAAUAUACACCAAGCUGAUGGAGUACUACGACAGGCAUUUUACCCAGCCGCACGCCCAGGAUUUCUUGCGUGCAGUUUGUGAAGAAAAAAUUAGGCUGAUGGUCUCAGGCUCAGCUGCCCUGCCCCUCCCAGUGCUGGAGAAGUGGAAGAACAUCACGGGCCACACCCUGCUGGAGCGGUAUGGCAUGACCGAGAUCGGCAUGGCUCUGUCCGGGCCCCUGACCACCGCCGCGCGCCUGCCAGGUUCCGUGGGGACCCCACUGCCUGGAGUACAGGUGCGCAUUGUCUCAGAAAACCCACAGAGGGAAGGCUGCUCCUACACCAUCCACGCAGAGGGAGACGAGAGGGGGACCAAGGUGACCCCAGGGCUUGAAGAAAAGGAGGGGGAGCUGCUGGUGAGGGGACCCUCCGUGUUUCGAGAAUACUGGAAUAAACCAGAAGAAACUAAGAGUGCAUUCACCCUGGAUGGCUGGUUUAAGACAGGGUCUCCUCUGUCCCCAGACCCCUGAGCCCAGGUUGAGGAGCCACCAGCUGAGGACGGAGCCAAGGUCACGGAGCUGCCGGGGGACACCGUGGUGUUUAAGGAUGGCCAGUACUGGAUCCGAGGCCGGACCUCAGUGGACAUCAUCAAGACUGGAGGCUACAAGGUCAGCGCCCUGGAGGUGGAGUGGCACCUGCUGGCCCACCCCAGUAUCACAGAUGUGGCUGUGAUUGGAGUUCCGGAUAUGACAUGGGGCCAGCGGGUCACUGCUGUGGUGACCCUCCGAGAAGGACACUCACUGUCCCACAGGGAGCUCAAAGAGUGGGCCAGAGAUGUCCUGGCCCCGUACGCGGUGCCCUCGGAGCUGGUGCUGGUGGAGGAGAUCCCGCGGAACCAGAUGGGCAAGAUUGACAAGAAGGCGCUCAUCAGGCACUUCCACCCCUCAUGACCCGGCAGACUGGGACUGCAGUUCUGGUGGGGAGCAGCAGACGUCCCCUUCACACCGAGAACCGCGGGGGCCCAUCCAAGACCUGGCCUCCCUUAAACCUGAACCCCCCAAAUCAGGUCACGUAGAAUCAAGAACUGUUUGGGAUGAAAUCACCAUGUGGUGUCCCCAGCCUCGGGCCAGUUGUUGCAGCUCAAGGAGACCGUCCCUGGUGUCACCUCUGUGUGGUCACCGCCGACCUCAUCUGUGCAGCGCAGUGCAGCCAGCCCCUGGCCCCACGUGCUGAGGCACCUCCCACCCCAUAGUGCCCUGCAGUUGCCAGGCUCUCCAGGGCAGGUCCCGGAGGUGUCCCGCAAAAAACAAAGACUCCACUGGAGGAAACAAGCCCCUGUCCCACGCUGUCUGCACGUGCCUGUGCCUCACCCAGAGCCAGUGUCUCCCGGCCCACUUAGGAGGUCUGGGCAGCCACCCAGGGGGCCCUCCUGGGAGGAGCUGAGGGUUCACAAGCCUCCCAGAACCAGCCCUGUCCCAUGGGUUCCGGGCAUUUCCUGGUGCCGCUCUUGGAGGAGAGCAGCUCCCGCUGUGGGGACACCUGCCACCCUGCACACUACUGUGUGUCCAUCAGCAUGUGUCACAGAAGGUGCGUGGACGGACAGCCCCGGAGCUGCUCUGCCGUGACCCUGCCUCACCCCCCAGCACAGGGACCUUCCAGGUCAUCUCCACACCAGCCCCUCAGCCGGUGAACCCUCUCUCCCAUCACCGUCUCCACCCAGACCCCCACCUGCCCCAUGGCCCCCAUGUCAUGUCUGUGGCUCACCAGCUUUUCCCCAGACCCAGCUCCGGAGCCCACAGGCGUGGCCGAUGCAGAAACCUCAGGAAGGUGUGUUGUGAAUGUUGGGUGCACCUACGUUGCAUUUACUUAGCGGGGCCAAUUCAGAUGCACAGGGGCCACAUGCAGAAUCCAGAAGUUUCUGGACAAUUUUCAGAAGAAUAGGCUGCCUCCUCCCUACAGCCUGGGGGAAGUAACAGUCAUCGCCCAGCAGUGUCUGGCCUGAACUUACCCAGAACAUUCUGCCCCCGGAAUGCACGUCUGAAAGAGUGGCCAGAAACGAGUGUGCCGGGCAGGAGGCCAGCCCCAUCUCAGGCUCACGUGCCUCUGGCAGGAGACCAGCCCCAUCUCAGGCUCACAUGCCUCGCGGACACUUGGACGUGGCCUGGGGCCCCUGCUCACUUAAGCAUGUCGCCCACCAAGCUUGUCUGAGGCCACAGAGCAGCGUCCCAGCCCUGUUUUCCAGGACGGGUGGGUGCCCCAGUCCACGGCCCUGCCCCACCCGAACUCCUGCCUCACGGUGUGGCCUUCUGCAUCCCCAUGGCCUGACCCCGGGAACAGUCAGAGGAAGGGGUCCCGCCCUCCCGCCAGAGGCCUGGACCCAAGGGAACGGCAGUCAGAGACUACAGUCCAGACGUUUGUGUCUAGGCCUUGCUAGUAGCUAAGGAAAUGCCUUCUGUUGGGAAAAGGUCAAAUUUAACAUAGCAAAAUUUUUACUUAAUUCCACUAAUUUUACAUUUGCAUCUCUCUCCUUUAAUCCUGAAACUUUUGAUUCCUAAAAAGCUUACAUAAUCAUUUGCUUUAUCCGAUAGUAUACAUCAGUAUAUCAUGCUUUCAAAA